GACGAACGCUGGCGGCGUGCUUAACACAUGCAAGUCGAACGGGCCUUGUCCCCUUUUUUUUUGGGGGUGGGGUUAGUGGCGAACGGGUGAGUAACACGUGAGUAACCUGCCCCUCACUUCUGGAUAACCGCUUGAAAGGGUGGCUAAUACGGGGUGUUCUGGCCUGCUCGCAUGGGUGGGUUUGGAAAGUUUCGCCCGGUUUUGGUUGUUUUGGUGGGGGAUGGGCUCGCGGCCUAUCAGAGUGUUGGUGGGGUGAUGGCCUGCCAAGGCUUUGGCGGGUAGCCGGCCUGAGAGGGUGGGCGGUCACACUGGGACUGAGACACGGCCCAGACUCCUACGGGAGGCAGCAGUGGGGAAUAUUGCACAAUGGGCGCAAGCCUGAUGCAGCGACGCCGCGUGAGGGAUGGAGGCCUUCGGGUUGUGAACCUCUUUCGCCAGUGAAGAAGGUCCUGCUCUUUGUGGUGGGGUUGACGGUAGCUGGGUUAAUGAAGCGCCGGCUAACUACGUG
RNAcentral lists this ribosomal RNA (508 nucleotides) under uncultured bacterium. RNAcentral's name for it is "partial 16S ribosomal RNA". It matches the Rfam family "Bacterial small subunit ribosomal RNA", at positions 28 to 507 of the family's 1533-position model. The record is from RNAcentral.